Molecule: ribosomal RNA, 548 nt
Filed under: uncultured Glomus
Lineage: Eukaryota; Fungi; Glomeromycota; Glomeromycetes; Glomerales; Glomeraceae
Description: SSU rRNA
Rfam family: Eukaryotic small subunit ribosomal RNA
Source: RNAcentral
UUGGAGGGCAAGUCUGGUGCCAGCAGCCGCGGUAAUUCCAGCUCCAAUAGCGUAUAUUAAAGUUGUUGCAGUUAAAAAGCUCGUAGUUGAAUUUCGGGAUCAAUUUAUUGGUCGUGCUAUUGUACGUACUGGUAUUAUUGAUUUCUACCUUCUGACGAACCAUGAUGUCAUUAAUUUGGUGUCAUGGGGAAUCAGGACUGUUACUUUGAAAAAAUUAGAGUGUUUAAAGCAGGCUCACGCUUGAAUACAUUAGCAUGGAAUAACGAAAUAGGACGUUUGAUUCUAUUUUGUUGGUUUCUAGGAUCGACGUAAUGAUUAAUAGGGAUAGUUGGGGGCAUUAGUAUUCAAUUGUCAGAGGUGAAAUUCUUGGAUUUAUUGAAGACUAACUACUGCGAAAGCAUUUGCCAAGGAUGUUUUCAUUAAUCAAGAACGAAAGUUAGGGGAUCGAAGACGAUCAGAUACCGUCGUAGUCUUAACCAUAAACUAUGCCGACUAGGGAUCGGAUGAUGUUAAUUUUUUAAUGACUCAUUCGGCGCCUUACGGGAAAC